This 275-nucleotide unclassified non-coding RNA is filed under the name Pezoloma sp. Its description in RNAcentral is "partial contains 5.8S ribosomal RNA, internal transcribed spacer 2, and large subunit ribosomal RNA". The stretch from base 1 to 71 matches the Rfam family "5.8S ribosomal RNA", at positions 84 to 154 of the family's 154-position model. The record is from RNAcentral. Lineage: Eukaryota; Fungi; Ascomycota; Leotiomycetes; Helotiales; Discinellaceae.
GUGAGUCAUCGAAUCUUUGAACGCACAUUGCGCCCCUUGGUAUUCCGAGGGGCAUGCCUGUUCGAGCGUCAUUAUGACCACUCAAGCCUAGCUUGGUAUUGGGGUUCGCGGUCUCGCGGCCUCUAAAAUCAGUGGCGGUGCCGUCUGGCUCUAAGCGUAGUAAUUUUCUCGCUAUGGGGUCCGGACAGUUACUUGCCUAAACCCCAACUUCUCACGGUUGACCUCGGAUCAGGUAGGGAUACCCGCUGAACUUAAGCAUAUCAAUAAGCGGAGGA